RNAcentral lists this ribosomal RNA (468 nucleotides) under uncultured bacterium. RNAcentral's name for it is "partial 16S ribosomal RNA". It matches the Rfam family "Bacterial small subunit ribosomal RNA", at positions 28 to 507 of the family's 1533-position model. The record is from RNAcentral.
GACGAACGCUGGCGGCGUGCUUAACACAUGCAAGUCGAACGGAAAGGCCCUGCGUUUGUGGGGUGCUCGAGUGGCGAACGGGUGAGUAACACGUGAGUAACCUGCCCUUGACUUUGGGAGAACUUCAGGAAACUGGGGCUAAUACCGGAUAGGAGCUCCUGCUGCAUGGGGGGGGUUGGAAAGUUUCGGCGGUUGGGGAUGGACUCGCGGCUUAUCAGCUUGUUUGUGGGGUAGUGGCUUACCAAGGCUUUGACGGGUAGCCGGCCUGAGAGGGUGACCGGCCACAUUGGGACUGCGGUACGGCCCAGACUCCUACGGGCGGCAGCAGUGGGGAAUAUUGCACAAUGGGCGGAAGCCUGAUGCAGCAACGCCGCGUGCGGGAUGACGGCCUUCGGGUUGUAAACCGCUUUCGCCUGUGACGAAGCGUGAGUGACGGUAAUGGGUAAAGAAGCACCGGCUAACUACGUG